AUGUAAUGUAGCAUGUCCGUUUGGUGCUUAACUCUGUUGAAUUAAUUAUUAUUUAAUUACUUUUGGGUAACAGGGUGUUACAUUUUC
MicroRNA precursor from Medicago truncatula (barrel medic), 87 nucleotides. It matches the Rfam family "MIR2617 microRNA precursor family". Lineage: Eukaryota; Viridiplantae; Streptophyta; Magnoliopsida; Fabales; Fabaceae. The record is from Rfam.